This 333-nucleotide ribosomal RNA is filed under the name uncultured bacterium. RNAcentral describes it as "bacterial SSU rRNA". It matches the Rfam family "Bacterial small subunit ribosomal RNA", at positions 1 to 334 of the family's 1533-position model. The record is from RNAcentral.
GUGAGUAGUUCAGAGUUUGAUCCUGGCUCAGGACGAACGCUGGCGGCGUGCUUCAUACAUGCAAGUCGAACGAGAAAUUCACUUCGGUGAAUGGAAAGUGGCGGACGGGUGAGUAAAAUGUAGGAAAUCUGCCCUAGAGAGGGGGACAACGGUUGGAAACGACCGCUAAUACCCCAUAUGAGCGUACCUGGAAUGGUAUUCUUGAAAACUCCGGUGCUCUAGGAUGAGCCUGCAUCUGAUUAGCUAGUUGGGGGUGUAAUGGACCACCAAGGCGACGAUCAGUAGCUGGUUUGGGAGGAUGAUCAGCCACAAUGGGACUGAGGCACGGCCCAU